Molecule: ribosomal RNA, 253 nt
Filed under: uncultured bacterium
Lineage: Bacteria
Description: partial 16S ribosomal RNA
Rfam family: Bacterial small subunit ribosomal RNA
Source: RNAcentral
UACAGAGGUCCCAAGCGUUGUUCGGAUUCAUUGGGCGUAAAGCGCGUGUAGGCGGCUUGGUAAGUCCGGUGUGAAACCUUGGGGCUCAACCCCAAGCCUGCACUGGAUACUGCCUCGCUUGAGUCCGGGAGGGGAGAGCGGAAUUCCUAGUGUAGCGGUGAAAUGCGCAGAUAUUAGGAAGAACACCGGUGGCGAAGGCGGCUCUCUGGAACGGUACUGACGCUGAGACGCGAAAGCGUGGGGAGCGAACAGG